AGGAAGCCGAGGACCAGAGAGGAGACUUGUAAAAACUGCAGAAAAGCAACAGGUAACCGAACUAGGGUCGUGACAGAAGGUUUGGAGAUGAUUGGAUGGGGCUCAAGGGCUUUAGAAGGUCUACUGGUCAGGUGCUGCUCUCAGGCCGUGCAGGUGCUGAGCAGGAAGAGGAGUCACGGAGGCCAGUACAAUGAACACACUGUGAACAGAAGACUCGGGAAUUCAGAGAUGUGAGUGUGAACUGAUAUUCUGGAAUGAAGGUAGGACUGGGCAAUAGAUUUGCUGGUUGUUGGCGUGGAUAUAAUGCACAAGACUAAAUGGAAUUGUCAAGGAAGAUACCAUAGAAAGAAGAACAGUAGUCCUCUUUGCCCCAGUAUCAGUUAACGAAGUCAGCCAGUCUAAAAAUAUUAAAUGGAAAUUCCAAAAAUAAGCACUUCAUAAGUUUUAAAUUGUGCAGUGCUUUGAGUGGUGUGAUGGAAUCUCAGAUCUUGCCUCUACCCCAGGCAUGAAUUUUCCUCUGUCCAUGUGUACAUGAUGUAUAUGCUACCCUCCUGUAGGUCACUAAGUAGCCAUCUGUAAGCAGGUGUUUUGUCAGCUUUUUUCACUCCUGUGACUAAAAGAUUCUACCAGCACAACUAUACAGGAGGAAACGUUCAUCGGGGGCUCACAGUUUCAGAAGUUUUCAUCCAUCGACAGAACACCCCAUUCCUCAGGGCUCAAGAUGAGGCAGGACAUCAUGAUGGAGGAGUGUGGCAGAGGGAAUCAGCUCACAUGGUGAUCAGGGAGCAUAGAGAGGUCUCCACUUGACACACAAAUAUAUACCCCAAAGCCAUGCCCCCAACUCCUACCCUACCACUUCAGUUACCACUCAGUUAAUCCCUACCAGGGGAUUAAUUCACUGAUUGAGUUAAGACUCUCAUAACCCAAUCAUUUCUCCUCGGAACCUUCUUGCAUUGUCUCACAUGUGAGCUUUUGGGGGACACCUCACAUCCAAACCAUAACAGCAGGUCAACUGUCACAGUAUCAUAGUGCUUAUGUACAAAUAACCUUUAAUUUACCUAAUAAUGGCCCAAAAGCACAAGAGUAGCAAUGCUGGCAAUUCCAAAUGCCAAAAAAAAAAAAAAAAGACAUUAAUUGCUUCUUUUAAGUGAAAGGGUAGAAAUAAAUACCAUAACAUAUUUUGAAAGAAAGAUUGCACUCACAUAAUUUCAUCACAGUAGAUUAUUAUAAUUGUUCUUUUUAAAUUAGUCAUUGCUAAUCUCUCACUGUGCCAAAUUUAAAAAUUAAACUUUAUCUCAGGGGUGUAUGAGUUAGAAAAAACAGCUUUCUUGAGUGUAAGUAACAUGUAGAACAUUCUUCCAUUUGGAGCAUAUGUUUUGAUAGCUUGUUCUUCAGUCUCCAGGCUUCAUGAAUGCUGGGCAAACACUCUGCCACUGAGCGUAUAUGCAGCCCCUUGAUCAUUUUUGACAAACAUACACAGUCCAGUGGUCAUUACUGUAAUCACAACAUAGACUACUUACAUCAACCAAAUACCUUCACUCAUGACUUCGUGGUGUAGGUUGAUUUUGGUUGGAUCACAUUGCAGAUCCACUAAAGAAAAACUGAGACUUGCUAUGAAUUGGGUGUUCAAUGUGGGAGAGGAAAGUCAAGAGGAACUCCAAGCUUUUGUCCUCAGAAACCAGAUACAUGAAAUGCACCACUAUUAGGUGUAAAUGAUCAGAGUCUUGUGGCAAAAAUCAAGACUUCUGGUUAUGAAGGAGGAGUUGACUUAUGCAAGACAGAACUUUACCUGUGAGUAAGCACUUAGAAGACUGGUCACAAGAGAAAGCAAGGAGAUUUUCAUUGAAAUAACAAUGAGGUUCAAUUAUACAUAUUAAGCUCCUGGUCACUGAAACAUGUGUUUAUUAUAUAUCACGUGUUUAUUAUGUAUAAACUACAACAAAUAUGAAGAAAAUAAGAGGGUCUGUCAUACUGUACAAAACCACGGUUGACUUUGCGUGUACAGCCUCUCCAUGACAACUUCUCAUGCACACAAACAUAAAUUCACAUUUCUUUCUACAAAGACAUCAACACUUGUAAUCUUUUUGACUGGUCCUUCUCUACAUUGAUAACAUCUUCUCUCAAGUGGUUGUACCCUAUUGGAUGCUCAGAUAUAAUUUAAGCAACCCCUAUUGACCGGCAUUGGGCUAUUUUGAAUUCUUGGUUCCUAUAAACAACAUUGGGAUGAGUAUCCUGAUACAUAGAUCCUUGUAAGAAAAUGCAUUUGUUUCUUAGAGAUAAACUCAGAGGUAAGAUUUGAGAAUCAAAGAGAACAUGCCUUUUGAAGAUUAAAAUCAGCAUACUAUAGCAACACAGCCACAUCAAUGUUUAUAGCAGCACAAUUCACAAGAGCUAAAUUAUGGUGGAAUCAACCCGGAUACCUGUCAAUAGAUGAAUGGAUGGAGAAACUGUGGUGUAUAAAUACAAUGGUCUUCUACUCAGCCAUAAAAGAGAAUGAAAUUAUGGAAUUUGCCAGUAAACAGUUAGAAAUGGAGAAUAUCAUGCUAAGUAAAAUUAGCAAAACUCAGAAACUCAAAGGUCGAAUGUUUUCUCUCACAUGUGGAAGCUAGAGUGAAAUAAAGGGGGAGAGAAGGAAAGGCUAACAUAAAGAACCAAUCAGAUAUGAACUAACGGACGGACGAGCAAAAGAAGUUUGGUAGAGAAGAGAGACUGGGAGGGGGGAGGGACGACUGGAGGGCAAAGGGGGGUUGGGAACUGAAACUGAAUCGCACCCACGUCUGAGUUUGUCACAUGAACCCAACUACUGUAUGUAGCUAUAAAGCUCUAAUAGAGAGAGAGAAUGUGCUUUUUAAAGGUUCUUCUGUCACAGUCACUUGAGUGCCUCCCAGAGAGAACACAAGCCUCAUGUUUCAGUCAGUCUUUUCACUGCUGUGACAAAAAGAUGGCAUAAGAACGAUUCAAGAGUGAAGUGUAUUUGGGGGCUCUUGGUUUCAGAGGUAUCAGCCCAUGGUCGGCUGACUGCACAGCUCUGGGCCCCAGAUGAGGCAGGACAUCAUGGUGGAGGGACCCAGCUGAGGACAGGGCCACAGGAAGCAGAGAGAGAGAGAGCUCUGCUCAGGAAGGACAAAAUAUAGACCCCAAAGGCACACCCCCAAUGACCCACCACCUCCAGCCACACCCCACCUGCCUACAGUUACCACCUGGUUAAUCCACUUAGUGGAUUAAUGCACUGAUUAGGUUAAGGCUCUCAUAAACCAAUCAGUUCACCUCCGAAAUUUCUUGCAUUCUCUCACACAUCAUGGACGCCAACACCUACACCAUAGCACGUCUCCUCCUGCUGAGGAGUGAAAGCCCUCUCAUGUCCACAUCUGCUGAACUGGGCUAGCAUCCUGCUUUCUAACUUUUCAGAUGGCCUUGUUGAGAUGCACACUAGAAAUCUCCCCUUGCUCAUGCCACAUUGCCUCAAGAAUAUAUCAUUUGUCUUAGGAAGUAUCUAGAAACUUCUGGAGGAUAUUCCCAGUGGUAAUAUUUUGGUUUUAGGGUUUUUCCCAGAGAACAAAGAAACUAGAAGAUCAUCAAGGUGAUGUUCUCUGUAUAUUUUGUACCCUGUUGAUUAUACAUUUUAUUUUCUCUGAUUAGAAAAUGGAGUAAUGGAACCUAUGGAGAUACCUAGCAACCAUGUAAAAAUCCAAGUUUAACCAACCUAGGGAGACCCAGAUCUGCCCCCAUGUGAGACUAAAAUUAUGUCCAAGUUUUAUUUCCCUUUGUUUUGGAUUUGUUUUUAAAGUACUAAUAGGAAGGCUUUACCUCUCAAUCAGUUGAAAGUAAGCAUGGGAAUUUUAAGAAAGAAAUUUUAUUAUUUGAACUAUAAUUUGAGUUUGGGGCAAACGUUUAGGUAUUAAUUUAAUUCUAGACAAAUAAACUAUAGAAUUCUACGAUUUAUUACAGGUCUAAUUUGCUAAAAUGGAGUGCAGUAAUAUUUCUUCCAGUAUUUUAGCAGAAAUUUAAAAUGUGUAUUUACAGCACUUAGUCACUUCCCUUAAAAAAAAUAAAUUUUUUCAGCUCCCAUGUAAAGUGGCCAGAUGCCUAAUUAGGAAUCCUGAAACUCAGCUGCGUUGAGUUAAUAAGUACCCGUGGCAAGUAUUAACCAGUGUAUCCCAUUCCUCAACAAUGAGGAAAAAUACUUAUACAUUUAUGAAAUGAGCCGUCAAAGGGUUUGGUAAAUUUCUAAAUAAGAGCAUUUAUUUUCCUCUCCUGCUAACCUAUGCCAUGGGAGAAAUCAAACAUGCCUGGAUUUUCCUAUUUCAUUUUUUUGCUUUCUACCCUCAAUCUCGUCACCCUCAGGACUUUUAUUUUUUUCCUGCACUAAAACUUUCUACAGUUGCUUUCAGCUCAAGAAAUGUUAUAGAUGUUGGAGUUCAUGGUUUUUUUGUUUCUUUAAGGACAGAAAAUAUUAGCUAUUCUUAAGUUAAUUGUGUGGAGGUGUGUGUGUGUGUGUGUGUGUGUGAUUUGCUAAUUUUAUAUAAGUUUCCCCACUUUAAAGGCUUUGUGGUGUAAAUCAGAAUGAGCAAAAAUUUUGGAACACUUACUUAGUCAUUUCUUCCCACAGCUGAGAAUGUUUUUACCCCCCAAAGAGGAACAACAGAGUUGCAAAUACGCUAGUUUAACUUUACUGACAUGCUUGGUGGAACUUGGCUGAAGUUGCACACUUUUCGUGACAUGUGACAAACUGCUAGAGGUUCUGGAGCUUAGUUGUUGUCUGGUGCUAAACUAAUAAAUCCAUGUUUACCCAAUCUUUAUGCUUAUUUUCCAGGAUCUGGGAGACAAAUGCAUUUAUGUUUUGUUAGGAAGGACAAUGAAACCCCAUAGGAAAUAAAAGUAAUAGAGAAUUGUUAAAACCUCACCAAGUGUUAGCAAGAAAUUAAUCACCAUGGGGUACAGAAUACUUACCGGAGGGCAACCUAGUAACUGUGGCCACACUGCCUGGUUCAAAUCCUCCUCUGGCUGCUUAAACUCCUCAGGUCUCAGUUUCCUCAAUAAUAAAAUAAGGAGAACGGUGGUACCUGCUUCAUGGGGUUACUCUGGAAUCAAAUAAAUGCAUAGAAUAGAGUCGAGCCCUUAAUAAAUGCUUUUUUUUGCUUUUUAAUUUUAUUUUAGGUGUUUUCAUUUUAUUUUUAACAAACACAUAAUAUUCGUACAUAUUCAUAGGGUGCAGUGUGAUGCGCACAUUGUAAAAUAAUCAGUCAUAUCAGGGCAUUUAGCGCACCCACCACCUCAGGUGUUUAUCGUUUCUUGUAUCUAAUUCCCCUCUUGCAGCUGUUCUGAAGUCCACAUUACUGUUGACUACAGUCAUCAGUGGUGCAAUGCCACACAGAGCUCAUUCCUCAGGUCUAACUGCAGCCCUGCACCGCGGGCCAGCUCCCUUUCCGGUGACCACCGUCCUGCCCUCACCUUCUUUGAGACUGACUUGUUUAGGUUCUACACAUGAGUGAGCCCCUGCGGCAUGUGUCCUUCUGGGGUUCGCUUACUUCCCCUAACAGUGUCCUCCACGUUUAUCCGUGUUUCACAAAUGGCAGAAUUUCAUUCUCUUGGGGCUGGAUGGUUCUGUACUGUGUGUGCACACCGCAGUUUUAACCCAGUCACUUAGGCUGCGCCCACAGCGUGGCUGUGGUGUGCGGCCCCGUGAUGAACACGCAGUGCAGCUGCCCUGUGACACACUGAUCCCGUUUCCUUCGCACGUGUACCCAGUGGUGAGAUUGCUGGGUCAUGGUUUUUAUUUUUAACUAGUAAUUUCCCCAAACAAGAGCAACCUGCCUAGAUUAUUGCUAGUGGAAUACGUAUAUUUAUCUUACUAAUUAGAUUGUUAGAAUGUUGGAGAAUAAAGACAGGGUCUUGUCUUUCUUUUGUAGCUCUCUUUUUGAGCUGCGUAACCAACAGGAGAGCCAGAUUCUGUAAUGCCACCAUCUCAAGUGAGUACUACUUUAUCACUGGCAGAGACGAGGAAAAAACAAAGAACUCUUUCCCAGUUCGUCUGGAGGAACCAAAGGGGAAAGUUGACUGUUUCUCAUCACUUAUGAGUAUCAUGACUAGAAACUGAAUUGACUCCUCAGCCGUGUUUUCUCAACCCACAGUGCUUCUGAAAAGAAAUAUUUGUCACUUCUCGUGUCUGCUCUGUCCUAUGAAAAAUAGGUGGGAUUAAGAACUAAACAAAAGUGCCAACAACGAAGGAAGGGCAGAACCAGUGGCCACCACUCAGCUGGCCUUGGUUCUGAGGCCAUCUGUAAGACAACACUGCCACCUGUUGGAGAGAAAGAGCGAGUCGGUUGUGAUUAUUAGGGACAGAGUUGCUGGUUGCAGUAUGAGAAAGAAAAAGGAGUGGAAAAGCCGCCCCCUGCUGAAGCCUCCCCAGGAGCGCAGAGGAGAGGUCCUUCCCCCACAGCUCGCUGAAGUCUGAGGCCUGCUUUCCCCUCCCACGCCCUGGGGAGGACUUCAGCUCCACCUGGGGGUUUGCUCUUCUGCAUCCUCACACCUGGUAUAUGCACCUGCCUCCUGAGGAACUGCUGGAGGCCAAGAGUGACAACCGCUAACACCUGCCACUUAAAUGGGGCGAGACUUUACUUCUUCAAAGCUUUGUUUUUAACUGACACACACUAAUGGUACAUAUUGAUAGGGCCCUAUGGGAUGUUUUGAUAGUCAUGUGCCUUGUAUACUGAUCCGAUCAGGGCAACGCACAUAUCCAUCACUUCAGGCUCUGCAGAGUCUCUGUGGUGAGAAGACCCCACAUCCUCUCUUCCAGCUACUUACAUUACACUAUUGCUAAUUAUAGAACCCCAGGACCGCGGUAACCCCUGUUCUCUACCUCUAGGAGAUCAGCGUUUUUAGAUUCCACAUGAGUGAGUUCGUGUGAGUUUUGUCUUCCUAUGGAAGGGACAUGACUUCUAAUAACUCAGAUGACGAUUUUAACAAGUCAGCCAAGAUGGGUCCCUGUUUGUGGGGCUUCAGCCAAGUUGCUCAUCUCUGUUCCUGUCAUUGCUACACAGUCAUAAUCUCUGAAAUGUUUCCAAGAAAAAUGAAUCAGAGUCUGAUACUCCGAUGGUGAGAUGACAUGUGAAUAUUAGUCCCUGACCUGGAGAUCAGAACUGCUUUUGUGGGAUGUCUUCAGAGCUAGAAGCCUAUAACUUCUGCACCAGACAGCACCUUGCCACUAACGAACACAUUCAUCUACGGUGGAAAUGCUCACCCCAUUGCUUUCCCAUUGCUAGCAAGCAAACAGGUAGGAGAGAAAAUCUGGAAUGGCCUGCUGACAUUGAAAACCCAAGUAGGCGUGGAGGUGGGUAAUGAGAGAACAUUGAAGAACAGGAGGGAUCGAAAAGAACCAGGCAUCUCAGAGAACAGAGGAGAUCUGAAGGAAAUAAGGACCUGUUUUUUGUCUUUGGGAGAUUUUUUUCCCAGGAACUCCUUGGGUUGAUUUCCUGACUGCAAAGAUUAUCCUAUCAGGGUAAAGUGUGUGUGUGUGUGUUUUCAUUCCAAAUAGCAGACACCAGUUCUAUGAGUGCACAAGGUAAUGUGUGAUGUCACCUGAGUGGCGUGAUUCAGAAGUUUAUAGGUCAUAAAAUUUCCAGUUGAGACAAACAAUGAAAAAUAGCAUGAGGAAGCACAAAUUGCAAAGACGAGGGCAAGGAAAACUCAGCCACAUCAGAAAUAGAGAGCCAGACUCUAGGAGCCAUUAGGAGCAUUCUUUCCCUUCUUAUUCUUUAGUUGCAUAGAACAAUAGUCGUUCCUGCCCCAUCUGGAGUUAGGCACGACCACAUGACCUACACCAGUGAAAGGAGAGGGACGCAGUGUGUUUUAAUUCUAGGUAAAGCUGUAAAAGCCAGUAUAAAAGUCACUGCAUAUCCUUUUCCUGCCUCAGCAAUUGUGGAUCUGAAUAUUAAGAUGGAGCAUUUCUCAUUCUGGUCUCUGGGUAACCAAGAUGAUGAGGCCCCAAGAUGCUGAUUCGCAUUUGCUAUAUAUAUGUUUUUUAUAGUGUUAAGCCAUCAAGAGGUUUGUAUGUUUGUUACUGCAGCAUAACCUAGCCCAUCCUGACUAAUACACAGGAUUCCCAUGGGUUAUAUAAAGUAAUAACUAAAAAACAUAAAAAUACAAAGGAAAAUCUUAAAUAAUUUUAAAAUCUAAAGCAUUCAUUUUGGGAUAACCAAAGGAUAGGGAUUUAUUUAGUAAGCACAGAGAAAUAUUUUAUGUGUCUAAAAUUAGUAUGUGUAUGUUUCAUAAAGUUAUUUUUGAUCCUUAGCUGUCUUCCCAUUGAAGAGUGUAUUUUUUCCUUAUUUUCCCAACUCCAAAAGCAGUGGUAAAAACACAGGGUAUUUUUCAGGUAUCUCCUUUCUCUCUGUGUUACAAAUACUCUUUCUCAUUUUCCACACUGGAAAGUAUAGCAUCAACUCAAUUCCUUGCUUCUUGUGUCCACAUAUCGUCUCUUUAUAUAGAAGCCAGAGAGAUUUUAUCCCCUCCAUGCACAAGGCCAAUGGUUCAAUCCCCAGCACCACACACACACACACACACACACACACACACAUACGCAAGCCUUAAGCUGGACUACAUCACUCCUCUGACUGGUGUCCUCCAAUGGUUCACCAUCCACUCAGGAAAGUCGGCUCCCACAGGAGCUUCUAAGGUCCUCUGGGACCUGGCUCUCAGCCACCUCUGCUUCACUUUCUCUCUCCUUACCCCUGGGCACAGCUUCCUGAGUAUGCAGAGCAUGUCCUUGACUCGGGCCUCUGCUUGCUCAGCUGUGCCAAUGGCUGCUUCUGUGGUGUGGGGUCCUCCUUCCUGAUCACUCUCUGCACUCCACAGGCUCCGCCCUCCCACGGACCCUGAUUUGUUUUUCUUGGAGGAGUCAAUGCCAGUGUAAUGGAGUGUUAUUUGCCUCUGUGUGCAUUCAUACCCUGGUUCCCGUACCUAGAACAUGAGCUCCUGGGAGUCGGGUCGUGUGUGUGUGUGUGUGUGUGUGUGUGUGUGUGUUGUUCGCCGUGGAGCUUGUCCACCUGGAAAAGGAUCCUGUGCGUAGCAACUGUUUGAUAAUGAACCUGGAGCAUUCUCUCCAUGCUGGACUUCUCUGCUGUGCUGCGGGGCUUAGAAUUCCCCUCUACACCCCUGAAUUUGCCACGAGAGCGCUACCACUGACGUUCCCGGAGAAAGCCCAGGGCAGAACUGCACUUGCCCAUAAAGGAGACGGCAAAAAGGGAAAUUUGUGUGUGUGUGUGUGUGGGGGGGUAACAUUAAGUUGAGUUCCAAAUUUUAUUUUUCAGGAUAUAAGAUUAUGGCCUUGUUUUUGGUGUUAACGUUCCUUUCAUUUAUGAAGGGACCACUGCGCUUGGUGACAGCUCGCGGGUUUGUUGCUUACUUGCAGCAAACUUCCUUUUGACUGUCUUUACUUGGAAAGGUAAAGAGUGGGACUCCUCCCUAAUUCUCGGGUUUUCAAUGCUCUGGAAUGGGCUAUUUAGCAAGGCAGGGAGCUGAAGCCCACAGAGACUGCCUCCUGCUGGCUCGCAGACCUAGAUGCUAGAACUGCGGCCAGGCCUCCUUCGUCCACUGACUCCUCCUCAUGAGGCCCCUUGAGGAUAACCUCCGCCCCACCCUGGAGUGUGUCACCUGGCCACAUCGCUCUUUCGAGCAGUUAGCACUUUGGGGGUCCAGUAGAAACUCAAGGCUCUUCCUUCUCA
This 9719-nucleotide long non-coding RNA is filed under the name Marmota monax (woodchuck). Lineage: Eukaryota; Metazoa; Chordata; Mammalia; Rodentia; Sciuridae. The record is from RNAcentral.